UGCGGGUAGCGGAUGGCCGCCGGCAGCAAUGCUGGAGGAAAGUCCGGGCACCACAGGGCAGGAUGCUGGAUAACGUCCAGGCGCGGAAACGCGACAGACAGUGCAACAGAAAGCAAACCGCCAGGUUCGGGCGCAAGCCCGGGCAAGGUAAGGGUGAAACGGCGAGGUAAGAGCUCACCGCAUUCCUGGUGACAGGGAUGGCACGGUAAACCUCAUCCGGUGCAAGACCAAGCAGGAAUCCGUCCGCAAGGACCGGCUGCGGCUCGCGGCUGUUGGAUAUCCGGGUAGGUCGCUUGAGGCGGUCGGUAACGACUGGCCCAGAGAGAUGGUCAUCGCCCCGCAAGGGGUACAGAACCCGGCUUAUAACUACUCAAUAU
This is a non-coding RNA of Fibrobacter sp., 377 nucleotides long. The record is from Rfam. Lineage: Bacteria; Pseudomonadati; Fibrobacterota; Fibrobacteria; Fibrobacterales; Fibrobacteraceae.